This 9684-nucleotide long non-coding RNA is filed under the name Malus domestica (apple). Its description in RNAcentral is "long non-coding RNA (MDOM_LNC018465)". The record is from RNAcentral. Lineage: Eukaryota; Viridiplantae; Streptophyta; Magnoliopsida; Rosales; Rosaceae.
CCUUCACCGAGUAAAGGUUAUCUCUUUAUAAAUUUUGCCUAUUUAUAACGGAGAGAUGAUUAUUGUUAUAAUUGUCUUUCCAAAAAAAGCAUCGUGAAUUGGGCAAAGUAACCACUAAAAUAGUAUGUAGAAAGUACAUAAAAUAGAGUUUACAUUUAUGGGUAAUAGAGAUUUGGGUAACACUUUCUUUGGAUGGAACGGUUGUUUCAAUGGGGCCGACUGGAUAAUCAUCUAGAAAUAUUAAAAACUUUGACCUUGAUUCAAAUUUUUUUAUUAUAAAUGAUCAAAACUAAUGUCAACAACUAGUUGUUCAUCCAGUAAUUUUAUAAUCAAGGGAACUUAUGGGAUUAAGUGCAAAAUUUAGGGUCUGUCGACCACUUGAGAGAGAGAGAGAGAGAGAGAGAGAGAGAGAGAGAGAGAAUGCCAGUUGAGAUAUGAUGUUUGGAAAACAAAAUUGCCAGCUUCCUCAGCAUAUAUUAAAUGGUAUGGGCCAACUAUGAAACCUUGAACAUCUUCACCUAACAUGCAAACUAAAUUAUUAUUGUGAAUAUUUUGGAUAUCACUACUACACACCUCUUUGAAUUGAUUGUGAUCGGUUUAAUUUCAUUACGCUAUUAUCUGAUUUUGAAAACUGUUGUUAGCAUUCCAAAAUUUUUAUACACUCUUGACAAAUGUAUUUUUCUUUCUAAUUAUAGAAAGUUUAGAAUGUAAAAUGAAAUUUUUGGAUUGCGAAUAACAAUUCCUAAGUAAUAUUGCUCUAGUAUAAAAUAAAAUGAUAUUUGAAAAGUCUCAUUUGUUCAUAAAAAAUAAUUUUUCCACUUAUUUUUUACAUUACACUACUCUCAUUUCUUGUCUUUAAAUAUAAUAAUUGAAAGGAAAAAUUAAGAGAAAUUAAGUUUUAGACGGAAGUACCUUAAGAUGAAAUAAAAAGCACUCGCUUUGUUUAUAAAUAAAAUUUUAAGAAGACCAAAUUUUUAGAUGACAUGAUGUGAUGAUUGAUAAUUGGACUCGGUUUUUUAUAAACCGGCACAUCAAUGUACCCUAUAAAAAAAAUCUAAAAUUUAGUCUCUAUAACAUCACCCUUUAUUCAAGUUUAGUGAAAGAUUAGUGUUUAAAAUUUGUAUUAUUAUACAGGCAUUUUCAAUUGUUUAAAUCGUUAUUCAUGAACAAGAUCUAUAGAGACAUAUAGACUCAUGGAUCCAUAUAUCCCGAUCGAAAAAGUAUUAACAGAAGAAAAAGAAUUGGAAUUGAUGGAUAUAUUUAUCGAAACAAAGCAUCCAAACGUCAACGACAGGAUACUCACGCGGAACCUGGUGAUUGGUUGAAAGCAUGAAAGUAACAUGGAGUGUCACGUCAGAUCAUUGCCGUACGAAUCCGGGUCAAGUCAGUGAUGAGGUUUGCGUAAGAAGAGCGUAAGAUAAGAGACUCCCGAGUCCCGAGCGGGUCCCACCGGUCUGAGAAAAGAAAACGCAAUCCCCCACCGGUGGCUCAGCCUUUUGCUGGCCUGGGACGGCGUCGCACGCUCGGCUGACUGGUUGUGGUUGGCCGUUUCGAAAAAGGGUGGGAAGACAAGAGGGUCACGUGAGGUAAGCAUGCACAGUAACUUGUGCCAUGCAAGAGCAGCGACUGAAUACUCCCGACGAAAGGCUCUCUAGGCUCCUCAGUCUCAGUCUCAGUCUCAGUCUCAGCGUAGGGUUAGGGUUCUUAAAUUAUGUUCCUAUGGAAUUGGAUCCGUUACGGACUUUAGUGUCCGGAAUCUAAGGAUUAAAUAAUCUAAACUGAUGAUUGGUGUGCAAAACAAAUCAGAACCGUUGGUUGUGUGUGAUGGACCAAAAAAAUGAAUUAAUAAAAAUCGUUGAAUUCAAUUUAAACGGUCCAGAUUGAUGGAUCCUUAGACUCUAGACACUAAGAUCUGAAGCGGAUCUAAUUCCAUGAUCUUAUGUCAGUAAAACACUAUUGAUUUUAUGAGCAAAGAAACUAUAAGUAUUUUAAUUAUUAUUAUUAUUAUUUGGUCGAAUAUGUAUUUUAAUUAUUGUUUAUGGUUUUUAAAAUUCAUAGGCCUGUUCUUUGUGUUACGGCCUACAGGCUGUACUCUAUGCUAACGAAGUUUAAUUUGUUUUUGUCGAGAAAAAAGUUUAAUUUAUACAUAACCAAUAGUUGUUCGGACUAAGUUUUUUGAUUAGUUGAGUUGGUUCAACUGGAUUGGUUGGUUCGUCUUUUAAGGUUAAAUACAAGUGAAAUAUUGGAAGGGUUUGAGCGCUGAGCCUCGACAUUGAAUAAACAUUGUGAAUUACCUGAAUUACAGGUUACUUGUUUUACUUCAUUCAUGAAAAAUGAUAGAAAUAUAAUAAAAAUAAAUGGUUUAUCAACAUAAACACUAAUUGAACGAAUACGUAUGGAAAUUCCUACGCUCACAUAACUAAUGAUCCAUGCACGUAUUUGUGCUUAAACUAAUAUUAAUUUUACGUCUUUCAUGUUUUAGAUGAUUUCAAAAUGGACUAGAGUGUUUCAAUUUUCUCAAUUACACUAAAAGAGAGUUUAAAAUCGUAUCAAUUUAUGUCUUCAAUCUAUUAUUAUUUUUUUUGGGAAAUUUCUUUAAUUUAUUUUGACCGUAUGGUGCUCGUUAAAUUGAUUCCAUGGCAAAUGUAGGACCCCUUGUGUGCAAUUUUUCUCAAGUUCAUGGGGUAUGAAAUCCAUCUAGCCUCUUAUAUUGGGCCUUAUAGAGGCUAGACGUGGGAUUUUUUGUUGUGGGCUUAAAUAUUUGUUGGAUCUGUUGGAUUCAGUGGUUGUGCAAAAUUUCUGUGGCCAAAUGGCCCAAAUCUUACUUUUAGUUUAUGAAAUUAGUUGAGGUUUGCUUUUGGUCUUUGUGGUUUGAGUUGUCUCAGUGUUUUUUUUUUUUUGAAAUAAAUGAUAAUGUCUACACUAAGAGGAAGUGGGUGGACUAAGACUCAAAAUAGACUUGCAAUAAUAUGAUUCAAAACUUUGGCAAGAAUCAAACCUAAUACCUCUUACUUACCAGUGAAGAAAAAUACCACUAAACUAUAUUAUUAAGUGACCAGUUGUCUCAGUUUAGUUAUUGUAGUUUAGUAAACUUGCAAUUCAAGGAGACUAUACAUUUUCCAUCCAUGUAGUCAAGGGAAAGAUAAUUGCAAUUAUUGCAUAAUUGUUGUAAAUAGUGUGUGGAUGGUCCACAUGAAUAAUUUGUUACUAUUUAUGCACAGUAUUUUCACUAUUCAUUUGUGGAAAAUUUGUAAAGUGAAUAGUGCUUUCUUUUGUUUAUAUAAAGGAAGAAGAGGAAUGAAGUGAGGGAAGUUCACGGGAAAGAAAGAGAGGAAGGAAGGAAGAGGAAGAGAGAGAAGGAAGAGGAAGAGAGAGAAUAGAGGAAGAUGAGAGGAGAUAAUAGAGAGAGUUAUCUUUGUACUCCUAUUAUUUCAGAUUAUAAUGAAAGCAUCACAGCUGCCCCGAGGACGUACUCCAGUCACACUGACUGUAGAGGAACCUCGUAAAUUUUGUGUCUUGUUUCAUUUAUUCCACUGCACCCACCGUCGAUUUUACAACACGUUAACAGCACGAGAAGCUCUCAUGUCGGUGGAAAGCACUACUUACCUCUCACCUCUAUCGGCUGGAAUCUCACAGAUAAGAAAAUCUUUUCAUUUCAUUCUUAUAUCUCUAAAUGACUAAUUUUCUUAAAGUAAAUAUACAUGUGGUUAUAUAAGUAUUGUUAUUAUUAUUGGCAGAAAAUCCGACAAUCAUAUGAGCUUUGAAAACUUCAACUUCCAGUGCUCAUACAGAAACCAUUCCUUCAUAAACGUUGUUCCUUAUCCUCUCUCCCAUAACAUACCAAAAUUCCAGAACCAUCCAACGGUUAAAUCAUUCCAGAUCUUAGAAAUAAUACUACAGACUCAAAAUUCGCAGAAAAUUUGGCAGCCAUGUAAAUAGCCACUGAACUCCAACUUCCUGACAUCCGAUUGAAAUACUUUCUUCUUGAAAGUUGUUUGUCCGCCUAGUACCUAGAACAUAUCCAAAUUUCAGAAAUUGUCAACGGUGCGAUCGUCGUAGAUGACUGAAACUUCAACUCAGCUUCCAUUUCCGCAGAAAACUGGACAGCCAUCUUAUGAGUACCAAACCUUCAUUUUCAGAAGCUCAGCUCGAAACUGUUUCUUCAUGAAAGUUGUUUGGUAUCUUCUUAUCCAUAUCAUACUAAAUUUUGAGUUAAAUCUAACGGUUUGAUCUUCUUAUAAGUGGCAGACAAAGAAAAGUGAUUAUUUUGGGUAGUUGAAAAGAAAGCUCGUCCAACUGCAAGAAUCCGAAAGUCGGAUUCAAAGUGAUCACCAGAGGUUCGUUGCUAGAUUCCGAAAGUAACUGAUGCCUUCCCCUUCUGGUGUUUUGCUAAGUACUGGGGUGCCACAUGAUCAAUCUCCAGUGCCUCCCCCUUCUGGGGUACUUCCGAGUACUGAGGCUUCACAUGAGCAACAUUUGUGAAGGCUCCAUCCUGUUUGUUUGUUUUAACUCAUGUGUAUGUAUAUAUCUGUAAUUUCUUGGAGAUAUUAAUAAACAAGCUUUAUUUACUUUAAAGCAAUUUAUUUACCAUGGACGGUUUUACCACCUAUUGCUUUAAGUUUUGAUGGUGCUGAAUUAAAGCCCUUGUCACAAGCUUUAUUUACUUAAAUGCAAUUUAUUCAUUAUGGCUGGAAUUACCGUCUAUUGCUUUAAUUUAUUUAUUGUACUUAUCUUUUGUUACAAUGAGUAUAACAAGAACCCAGAGUUCCUUGAUUAGAUCAGAACCUGCAGUUUCUUGAUCCUCAUCACAUAAAAUGAUAGGACCCGAAGUUCCAUCAUACAAAAAGAUCAGGCAUGAAGUUCUUUGAUCCUGAAGAUCAGGACAUGAAAUUCCUUGAUGAGUACCGUAAGUUUGAAGUGCCACAGUGCCUCAACUUAAUUAUAAUAAAGGUCAUAAAAGUCUCAGUCCAUAGAUUAUUUAAUAAGGACCAGAAGUUCCUUAUGUCCAUACUUAAAAUGGUUUAGCAGAAGCAUUUAUUAAGCGGAUGAAAUUGAUUACCCGCGCUCUGCUCAUGAAAACGAAAUUACCAGUUUUCUACAUGGGGACAUGUCAUUUUACAUGACGCAUUAUUAAGUUCGGAUGAGACCAGUUUCCAACCAUCAAUACUACUCAGUACAACUUGUGUUUGGGCACAAGCCAAACAUUAUACAGUUAUGAGUUUUUGGUUGUGUUAUCAAUGUGCCUAUUGCAUUGCCACAACAUACUAAAAUAAGGCAUCAACGCAAAACUGGAAAUUUAUGUUGGAUUGAUUCAUCAUCUAUCAUUCAAUAUUUAGAACCCUUGACUGGGGAUAUAUUUACCGCUUGGUUUGCGGACUGUCAUUUUGAUAAGACAAUUUUCCUGACAUUAGGGGGAGAAAAUAAUAUCGUUCCAGAAGAACGAUGAGAAAAUAUCAUUCCAAAAGAAUGAUGAGAAAAGACCGUUCCAGAAGAACGAAGAGAAUUUGUCUUAUUUUGAUUCACGAAGCAAUCAAUAAGAAAUGAAAUAUGAAUAAUUGAAUGAUGCAACGAAAGUGAUGAAAUCAUAUAUACUUACUGCAAAUGUGCCUACAAGAAUUGAUGUCUCUGUUGGAUAAAAUAAUGAGACAGUAAAUGAUUUAUAUGUUGCACGCCUGAAGCGUGGCAGAUUUUUAAACUCAAAAGGUUCAGUUAUUCGAAAGAAGAAUAAUAUGGCACUACUGAACUAUUGCAUUCCCGAAGCAUAACUGUUGCAUGCCAGAAGCAUGACAGUCGCCGCGUGGAUACACGUCCCAGAUAGGACAAUCCACAGACAUGGGAAUAUUGAUGUCUCAUGCAUGAAGCAUGAUUGAUGUAUAGGUUCUAAAUGACUCAACUCUUGGAAGUGGAGAUUAAAAUCCAAGCUCUAUAACGCUCAAGAAGAGGUUAUGAUCCGCAUUCUCUAAACUAUGACUAUCCUGGAAGAGAUAGUGUAAUGCCCUUGAAGAGGCAAUGGAUAUCCAAAGAAAUGAAAAGCUUUUAUGCAUGUGCAUGCACAUGAGAAUAUGGGAUCACAGAUUGAUGAUAACCAAUGGUAAUUUUGGUUUUUACAAGUAGCUACUAAAUUCAUCAAUGAGCUGUGUUAAUAUUGAGUCACGUUCUUUUGUUCGUCGACAAAAGGAAAAUUAUUGGCCAAAAUGGAGAAAGGCAAUUCCAUUACAAUUUUGUAAGAACGUGGAAAAAUGGAUCUAUAUAUUUGAAUGUAAUACAAAUAGCCAAAAGAUGUUGAACCAAGGAGAUUAUAUAUAUGGGCAUUUGUAAUACAGUGUAAUACACUUACAUGAUAUGACACAAGGUUGUAAAUGAGUUCAUAUAAAUGGAGAAUUAUAUAUGAAGGGUUGUGAGUCACCCACAUCAUAUCUCCAUAAGUAAAUCCCUCAAAUAUACAUGGGAGCAAAUUGCUCUGUAUAAAUUCCAAAGGAAAAUGUGUCAUGAAGUGUAGAAAAUCCCUGAAGGAUUCAAAUUGCUUGAAGUAAGCCCCCGAAGGGUAAAACAUAAAUUAUGAACUCAAUAUCAAUGGAUGAUAUAAAUUGCCUUAGUGAGUACUAUCAUUAUGAUAUUGUUGCAAUAUACUAAAAUCUCUUGCAAGAGUCAAUGACAUUAAAUUAGAACUCUUGAAGAGUUGAUGAUAUUAAAUUGGGACUCCUGAAGAGUCUAGAAAAAAUUAUAAAGUGUUGAAGGAAUUAUUGUCUCGAGCUGCAGAUCGAACAAUCUACCAACACGAAUCUUAUCCAUGAUAUUUAUGAUAUUAAAAGAACCAUAUGGAUUGAAGAUUAUGAGUUGAAUACUCAUAUGAUGAAGACACUAAGAAUAAUCAUUUAUCUUCGUGAGGGUAAAGAUUAAAUAAUACUUGGUCCAGAAGUACCACAUCUUAGUGAAGUAUAUGCUUUAUUGUAUUUGGCACAAUACAUUGAAUGAAAUAAAGCUUAUUUAUUAAUAUCUCCAAGAAAUUACAGAUAUAUACAUACACAUGAGUUAAAACAAACAAACAGGAUGGAGCCUUCACAAAGGUUGCUCAUGUGAAGCCUCAGUACUCGGAAGUACCCCAGAAGGGGGAGGCACUGGAGAUUGAUCAUGUGGCACCCCAGUACUUAGCAAAACACCAGAAGGGGAAGGCAUCAGUUACUUUCGGAAUCUAGCAACGAACCUCUGGUGAUCACUUUGAAUCCGACUUUCGGAUUCUUGCAGUUGGACGAGCUUUCUUUUCAUGCUCGUAGAGUAACUAUUUGCAAGCACGUGUAACACCCUAUUCUCGUGCUUGAGCCCUUUGAUCUCUUGUUUAAGACUUGCCACCUCUGCCAUCAAUGAUUCAACUUGGCGAGUUUGAGCAAGUAGGCGUUGGCCCAUAUUGGACACAGAGCCAACACACUGAACACUGAGAGCCAAUGAGUCUUGAACAGCCGACUCUUCAGACCGUUCUGAAAGGAUCUUGUUAUCCCUUGGAGUGAGAAGAUUCCUAGCUACCACAGUAGCGGUUAUGUUAUUCUUCAUCACAGAGUCACCAACCGUAAGAGGACCAUUAGAAGAUAAGAAGGACGGGCGCCAUAUAUUAUCAUGACGCUGCUCGUCUGUAUCACUCCUAAGACUCAAAUCUAAGCAAAUGUUAGAUGGGCAAGUCAUUUUUCAGAAAUGAUGAAGGAAAAACAGAGGUCAAAUAAAAUUUCAGAAGUGCAAGAAGGUGGAAAUUUCUCAGGCAGCAAUUUUCUGAGCAUACCCUUGAACACAAUUGAUGUCUCUAUAAAAGAAGAGGCAGCAGAGCCACUUGUUCAAAGAUCGAAGAGGCACCGCUCUCCGAAUUUCAAAAGCCAGAUUUUCCUGAAUAAAGUUCGUUGGCAUUUUUCAGACGUAAUCCCCAACUUUUUCAGAUGUCGCGUGCAAUUUUGUCAAAGAUCUCUGACAAAGUUGAAAACGCGUAAAUCUUACUGUUCUAUUUACACCACAGUUGCUGACAAGAGUAAAAAGCACAGCACCACCACUUGCUAUUGAGAAAUCUCUAUAUAUGUCGACCUCUGUUCUCCAUAACAAGGCAGACCCGCAACACUGCAAGAAUACCUAACUCUUCCUCAUCUCCGAGAAUGCAUCUUCAACAUAGCAUCUCGAAAUACUCAGUUUUCUUCCUCUCCGAGAAUACCUCUUCAAACAUGUCACACCAGAGCAAGAUUAUCACAUAUCUUCAGGGACCAGAGCAAGAUUAUCUCAUAUCAUGCAAUCUCCCUGUCCUUUCCUUUGUCCAUGUUCUUGCCUGCGAAGACAAGGAUAAAGAAAGCAAUAUGUCGAAACCUCCACUCAAACUCCCGGUAAGGAACCGACUGCCUGGAACCUUUCCUGAUUGCUUACCUAAUGUUGCUCUCGAGUAGUCAUCUUCAACGGUUGGAGCUGGGUCUCCAGUCACCAAGAAGUGAUGAACCAUCCAAAUGCAAGGGUUGCACUCCACUCCGGCAUUAGAGGGCAAAUACUGCCGGAGAAGAUGCCACACAUGCAUGGGGGAAAAGCAGGGAAAAUACUACUUAAGCAAGGGGAGCAAGUAAGGAAAGUAAAAAUGAUACAUUGAAGCAUGUGGAGACAAGCGCAACAAACGCGUGCUGAUUCAUCCCUGACAAAACUGAAGAUCACUUGCCACAUGAAGCUCCUCAUGGUCCAAUUUCAUUCAAGAUCAAGCAUCGAAGGUCCUUGAAGAAAUCACAAGUCCGAUUCAAUAUCAAGUGUUCACUACUCUUGAAUCAAAUUUCGCUCCAGAUAAAAGGAGUAAAUUCAGACAUUUGGAUGCUAGUCUAGCAGAAAGUCCUACAACCCAGUUCAAGAAAAAGCCUGUGGAAAGUUAACAACAAGUAAAGCAACUCUUUCAGCAACUCUUCUUACUAAGAGACUAAAUCAGAACGAUCAACGAUCAACCUAAAUGAUUUGAAAUCAGGGGGAGAUACUCAUCAGGGGGAGCAUCCAAGACAGAUCAAGGUUUUAACGAGUCAAUCGAAGACUUGUGGCCAUCCAAGGGGGAGUGUUGUAAAUAGUGUGUGGAUGGUCCACAUGAAUAGUUUGUUACUAUUUAUGCACAGUAUUUUCACUAUUCAUUUGUGGAAAAUUUGUAAAGUGAAUAGUGCUUUCUUUUGUUUAUAUAAAGGAAGAAGAGGAAUGAAGUGAGGGAAGUUCACGGGAAAGAAAGAGAGGAAGGAAGGAAGAGGAAGAGAGAGAAGGAAGAGGAAGAGAGAGAAUAGAAGAAGAUGAGAGGAGAUAAUAGAGAGAGUUAUCUUUGUACUCCUAUUAUUUCAGAUUAUAAUGAAAGCAUCACAGCUGCCCCGAGGACGUACUCCAGUCACACUGACUGUAGAGGAACCUCGUAAAUUUUGUGUCUUGUUUCAUUUAUUCCACUGCACCCACCGUCGAUUUUACAACAAUAAUAUAGAUAUUGAAUGGAUGAGACUAAUUGACUUUCAAAUGGCACGAUUGUAAUAAAAUAUAAAGAAACAAAGAAAUGGACAUGUGUGAAAAACAUAGUCAAGUCGUCAUUUAGUACUACGGUCUAGUGGUUUUCCUUUUCACUGGUAAGUGAGGUGUUAGAUUCGAUUCUCGUCAAAUGCGAAUAUGAACCACAUUAUUGCUAGCUCAUUAUGAGGUUAAAUCUACCAUUCC